Molecule: long non-coding RNA, 1243 nt
Organism: Limulus polyphemus (Atlantic horseshoe crab)
Lineage: Eukaryota; Metazoa; Arthropoda; Merostomata; Xiphosura; Limulidae
Exons: 4
Source: RefSeq, a predicted model, not a curated record
CCAGAAGCAAUGUCUCUCAACAAGACCUUACUCGCCAUUGCUGGAAGGUCAGCCCUUUUAUUUGUUCGUUACUGUAGCAAUCCCCGUCCUUAUCGUGCCCACUGGAUAGUGCGCCACCUAGCGAUUAGUCCUGGAGAAAUACGUCUGCAUUAUACCGCUCACAAUGUGACACGGUUAGACACCCCAAAUUGUUUUCAAGCUGCAUUGAAGAUUUCGAAUGUAUCUCCAGAAGAUGGAGGAGAAAUUUUGUUUUUUGUAAAGAACAGAAAAGGUAUCGACGAUGCAGUUGUCUUGCUAAACAUCACACAAGCUAGUUUCUCUGUAUCAGUGGGUUCUACGACUAUCUGGAGAGCUCAGGACGUCGUCUUAUUGAUCAUUGUUUCCCUACUACUUGUUGCUUGGACAGAAUUGUUUAGCUGCUUUCUUGGAAGUUGAUCAAAGACGAGAAAAUGAAUAAGUCAAGUCCAUCAAAGGCUGAGAAGUGAAACAAAAAAUAAAUCGGAGAGUGUGACCAAACUCAUCAAUAGGUUGUAAUAAGUGUUACCGUUAAACCACACUUAAAUAUCAUUUAGCUCUUCAUCGUUCUGGAAACUCUUCUCUGACAAACUCGCCGAAAGGAACUAACGAAGAGUACGUGUGUGACGAAGCAUAACAAUUUUGUUAAGGCUCACCUGUUUGUGCUUCAUAAUUAAAACUCAUCCACAAGUUUCACACUUGUUGUAAACAUCCAAAAGAAAAGAACGAAAUGGAUUCAGGUAUUUUGGUAAGAACACAUACACGAGGUUUCCACUUUUACUAGAACGAUGUUCUAUUGUGCCAGUUUUUUAGCAGCAGACAGAAACAAUAUUUCCACUUCUACUAGAAUGGUGUUCUGUUGAACUAAACUAUUAGCAGAAAGCAUAAACGAUAUUUCCACUUUUUUCUUGCAUGGUAUUCUGUUGUACUAGUCUGUUAGCAGCGAACACAUUCGUGAUUUCCUCUCUUACUAGCAUGUGUUAUGUUCAAACAGUCUGUUCGCAGAAAACAUAAACAAUAUUUCCACUUUUUUUGCAUGAUAUUCUGUUGAACUAUUAUGUUAGCAGAAAACAUAAACGAUAUUUCCAUUUUUUGGGGCAUGAUAUUCUCUUGAACUAUUACGUUAGCAACAUACAUAAACGAUAUUUCCAUUUUUUUGGCAUGAUAUUCUCUUGAACUAUUAUGUUAGCAGAAAACAUAAACGAUAUUUCCAUUUUUUGGGGCAUGA